This 330-nucleotide long non-coding RNA is filed under the name Bos taurus (domestic cattle). RNAcentral's name for it is "long non-coding RNA NONBTAT000351". The record is from RNAcentral. Lineage: Eukaryota; Metazoa; Chordata; Mammalia; Artiodactyla; Bovidae.
UUUGUUUUUAUGAAGAAGGAGGGGUAGAUAAGACUGGGAGACAAGAGUAGGAGGGGUUGUUUUUCACUGUAAACUCUUCUUACUAUUUGCUUUUUUGUUUUGUUCUCAUUUUUUAAUUACUUGAAAGUAUUAGCUGAUGAAAAACGUUGACUGAAUGGCAUAAGAAAUAAGCUGAUGUUUUCAACUGCAGAUAAUCUGGUAAUUCAGGAUAGAAAAAUGACAGAGUUGCUACAGCAAAUAUUUGAGAAUUUAUAAAGGAGUAGGUCAGGAUGGUAAGAUUCUAAAUAGAGACUGUCUUUUUUUUUUUUUUUUAAACAAAUUCUGUUACUU